This 492-nucleotide ribosomal RNA is filed under the name uncultured bacterium. Its description in RNAcentral is "partial 16S ribosomal RNA". It matches the Rfam family "Bacterial small subunit ribosomal RNA", at positions 29 to 507 of the family's 1533-position model. The record is from RNAcentral.
AGUGAACGCUGGCGGUAGGCCUAACACAUGCAAGUCGAACGGCAGCACAGUAAGAUCUUGCUCUUACGGGUGGCGAGUGGCGGACGGGUGAGGAAUACAUCGGAAUCUACUUUUUCGUGGGGGAUAACGUAGGGAAACUUACGCUAAUACCUCAUACGACCUACGGGUUAAAGCAGGGGAUCUUCGGACCUUGCGCGAUUGUAUUAGCCGAUGCCGGAUUAGCUAGUUGGCUGGGUAAAGGCCCACCAAGGCAACGAUCCGUAGCUGGUCUGAGAGGAUGAUCGGCCACACUGGAACUGAGACACGGUCCAGACUCCUACGGGAGGCAGCAGUGGGGAAUAUUGGGCAAUGGGCGAAAGCCUGAUCCAGCCAUACCGCGUGAGUGAAGAAGGCCUUCGGGUUGUAAAGCCCUUUUGUUGGGGAAGAAAAGCAGCAGGUUAAUACCCCGCUGUUCUGACGGUACCCAAAGAAUAAGCAACGGCUAACUUCGUG